This 1396-nucleotide long non-coding RNA is filed under the name Ursus maritimus (polar bear). Its description in RNAcentral is "lncRNA (ENSUMAG00000022066.1)". Lineage: Eukaryota; Metazoa; Chordata; Mammalia; Carnivora; Ursidae. The record is from RNAcentral.
GCACUUUCCACUUUAUAAUCUUAUUUUUUGUUAAUCUCGUUUCCUUGUUCUAGUGAAAAAUUUUUUUAUAUUUUUCGUGCCUGACAUGGUGGGGGCGGUUCGAUAAGUAUUUGUUCAAAGAAAGUACAGCUAACUCUGCGAUGUGGGGUACUUAGAUGAGAAAACCGAGAUGCACUGAGGUUAAGUGACAAGACGAAGGUCCUCUAGCUAAUGACUCAGCUUAUUCUAUAGCCUCAAUCCCUUUCCCAACCACCAGACUGCCUUCUACUCUGAGCUGUCUAAGUCCUCUUCUUCUGUCCAUCAUGUCACUGGCUGAUGCGGAAGGGUUUGGGCUCGUCAUCAGAACUGGGAUAAAGGAUCCUAGCUGAGCCAUUCCUGAUGCUCCGAUUAAUGCACGCCUCAACAAACAUGCCACCAUCCAGAGGCCACCUGAAAGGAUGUUGAAACUGCAAGCACCACGAAUGACCUCUUUGGAGCUGGCAGAGAUAAGUAUCGACAGUUCCAGGAUUGGAAACACUCNNNNNNNNNNNNNNNNNNNNNNNNGGGGGUCUCUGCCAGGAUUCAUCCACUACCACAUGAGGUCUCGGAGGAUACUGCUUAUGGAGGGGAAUCUCGAAAACAACGAAGUAAAUGUGAGGUCGAAUAGUAAAAGUAAAAUAAACAUUUGUUAUACUGAAGUAAAUUUUUUUAAAAGAUUUUAUUUAUUUAUUUGAGAGAGAGUGAGAGAGAGCACGAGCAGGGAGAGGGGUAGAGGCAGAGGGAGAAGCAGACUCACCACUGAGCAGGGAGCCCGAUGGGAGGGCUGAUCCCAGGACCCUGGGAUCAUGACCUGAGCUGAAGCAAGACGCUUCACUGACUGAGCCACCCAGGCGCCCUGAAGUGAAUUUAAAAAUGCAGAUAAAGCAAGGGAAUUGAUGGCAGUCUGUGAGAUAACAGAUGGUUACAUUCACCCCUGAAAAUUAAUAAUUCUAUUAGUGAUUGAAGGGCAGUUAGAAUACUGAUAAUUGAGGGGCAAAAAAUGUGAUGAGGGAAAGAAAGCAACGGAAAUGUCCUCCAGUUUUUCUGGACCCUUACAGGAUAACCCUGAUGAAUGAAGUGACUGCCUCUGGUGUGGCCUGUGCCAUCAUUCUGAUUUUGUCCAGGCUAACAGGAAAUAGAAAUCAUUGUGCUUCUUCUUCUUUUCUUUUUUUUUUUUUAGGCCAAAUGCAGUGCUCUGUUGUUCAACUAAGCAUCUUAUUAAGAUAAAAAAGGAGUUUCUUGGUGUUUUUUGGUUGUUUGUAUUUUGUUUUUUGCUUUAAAUUUUAAACAGACCUGUUUGAGAUACAUGCUCCUUAUAGUAAUUUUACUAAUUUUUUUUCUAAAUAAAAAAUGAGAGAUGAUCUCUCUUAUGUGAAAC